Long non-coding RNA from Schistocerca gregaria, 393 nucleotides. RefSeq lists it as uncharacterized. The record is from RefSeq and is a predicted model, not a curated record. Lineage: Eukaryota; Metazoa; Arthropoda; Insecta; Orthoptera; Acrididae. The transcript has 3 exons.
GAAGCAGAGGAGAAACAAAAACAGCAGAAGCUACGACGAGUUCUACUACAAGAUCUCAGCGCAAGACUAGCAGUGCGUCAUCAUAAGCCAAUCAUAGCCCAGGAGGCAAAGCAACACUUGAAAGCACUGUCACUGAAAAUUCUACAAGAAUUUCAAAGGAAAAUGCUUGCAGAGUGUGAAGACCGAUACAAGGAGAUAAGGAUCAGAAAUCAGAGAAAGAUUGGGAAACCAUUUCCUGCUAUAAAUUUUACAGACUCCCAAGCAAGUGUUCAAAAGUGGAGAGAUCAAAAUGUGAAACAGGAAAGUGUAAUCCAAAACUGCAAGUGAUAAUUUGAUUGAUGCCAUUCCAGCACAUUGUAAAUUAAAUGUUUGUAUGAUUAAAUGUUUUUGGCA